RNAcentral lists this ribosomal RNA (526 nucleotides) under Salmonella sp. Sal1214. RNAcentral's name for it is "bacterial SSU rRNA". It matches the Rfam family "Bacterial small subunit ribosomal RNA", at positions 28 to 525 of the family's 1533-position model. The record is from RNAcentral. Lineage: Bacteria; Pseudomonadati; Pseudomonadota; Gammaproteobacteria; Enterobacterales; Enterobacteriaceae.
GAAAUUAACCUGGGCUCGAUUGACGCUGGCGGCAGGCCUAACACAUGCAAGUCGAACGGUAACAGGAAGCAGCUUGCUGCUUUGCUGACGAGUGGCGGACGGGUGAGUAAUGUCUGGGAAACUGCCUGAUGGAGGGGGAUAACUACUGGAAACGGUGGCUAAUACCGCAUAACGUCGCAAGACCAAAGAGGGGGACCUUCGGGCCUCUUGCCAUCAGAUGUGCCCAGAUGGGAUUAGCUUGUUGGUGAGGUAACGGCUCACCAAGGCGACGAUCCCUAGCUGGUCUGAGAGGAUGACCAGCCACACUGGAACUGAGACACGGUCCAGACUCCUACGGGAGGCAGCAGUGGGGAAUAUUGCACAAUGGGCGCAAGCCUGAUGCAGCCAUGCCGCGUGUAUGAAGAAGGCCUUCGGGUUGUAAAGUACUUUCAGCGGGGAGGAAGGUGUUGUGGUUAAUAACCGCAGCAAUUGACGUUACCCGCAGAAGAAGCACCGGCUAACUCCGUGCCAGCCGCCGCGGUAAUUA